Melitaea cinxia (Glanville fritillary) is the source of this 100-nucleotide long non-coding RNA. RefSeq lists it as uncharacterized. The transcript has 3 exons. NCBI's taxonomy places the organism in Eukaryota, Metazoa, Arthropoda, Insecta, Lepidoptera, Nymphalidae. The record is from RefSeq and is a predicted model, not a curated record.
UGAUGGUCGUGUACUUCACUUUAAAUUUAACUGAGAUGUAACGAGAACUUUUUCAAUUAUCUCAAAUAAUGCGUAAUUAUUUGACUAUUUUUGUGACUAC